CACGUAUUUAGCCGGUGCUUCUUAGUCAGGUACCGUCAUUUUCUUCCCUGCUGAUAGAGCUUUACAUACCGAAAUACUUCUUCGCUCACGCGGCGUCGCUGCAUCAGGGUUUCCCCCAUUGUGCAAUAUUCCCCACUGCUGCCUCCCGUAGGAGUUUGGGCCGUGUCUCAGUCCCAAUGUGGCCGGUCACCCUCUCAGGUCGGCUACUGAUCGUUGGCUUGGGUAGGCCGUUACCCCACCAACUACCUAAUCAGACGCGGGUCCAUCUCAUACCACCGGAGUUUUUCCACCGAGCCAUGCGGCUCUGUGGUCUUAUGCGGUAUUAGCAGUCAUUCUAACUGUUAUCCCCCUGUAUGAGGCAGGUUACCCACGCGUUACUCACCCGUCCGCCACUCAGUCACAAAACCUUCAUCCGAAGAAUCAGGUUAAAGUGACUUCGUUCGACUUGCAUGUGUUAAGCACGCCGCCAGCGUUCAUCCUGAGCCAGGAUCAAACUCU
RNAcentral lists this ribosomal RNA (498 nucleotides) under uncultured Coprococcus sp. RNAcentral describes it as "partial 16S ribosomal RNA". The record is from RNAcentral. Lineage: Bacteria; Bacillati; Bacillota; Clostridia; Lachnospirales; Lachnospiraceae.